This is a long non-coding RNA of Triticum dicoccoides, 1561 nucleotides long. RefSeq lists it as uncharacterized. The record is from RefSeq and is a predicted model, not a curated record. The transcript is spliced from 5 exons. NCBI's taxonomy places the organism in Eukaryota, Viridiplantae, Streptophyta, Magnoliopsida, Poales, Poaceae.
AAAAACUGAAACGCACGCCGUGGUGGGGAAAGAAGGUUCCGAGCGCGCCGUUCUUCUUCUCUCAUUGCAUCUAUCGAUCUCUACAUACUCCGCUAUCUGCCAAGCCUUCGAGGUCUGCCACCACCAGAGAUUUUUUGUUGCUGUCAACCUGGAUCCCCAUGGUCGCCACCGCCGUCGGCUUUGCUGGUCUGCUGCCGUCGGCUUUGCUGGUCUGCUGCCGGCCGGGUGCCGGCGUCCUCUUCCAAAAUCACCUGGAUUAGAGGAUCACAGGUUAUGGCAUAUAUAGUCCAGUUCAUUUUCAGGACGCCUGCAUAAUGUUAGAUAAAUAUAUCGGAAUACACCCUUCAGAUAUGUGAUAGUAAAGCCCAUGAUCAAAUAAUGCACACUGAUCCCAAUUUCAAAGGUUUGUUUUUUAUUUCCUUAAUUUGCCGGCACAUUACAACUUCCAAAUGCCUUAUGGUGUUCAGCUGCAUGUUCUCCCUCCUCAUGCAGUGGUAACUGACAUAGUUUCUCUCCCAUAUAAGCAGUUGAGAUUCUUUCUUCCUGCCGUCUUCACAGAUUAUGGUCCACAAAUUACAAAUUUUCUCAGAUAAUUUACCUUGAUGGGAUGAAUUUGAAGUCUCUGUUGUGGACACCCGUUGUUUGUUGGUGCCGCGUGUGUUAGCUGGGACACAUCUGAAGCCCUUGAAGGAUAGACAAGAUGUGGUGAACCUGAGCCAAUCCUCCCUAUAAGUUGCAUCCCUCUCUGGACCAACUUAUGCUUGGAGCCCCAAACUGGUAUUCUGCUGUGCAGAGACUUUUGUCGUGCAGUACUUCGCACACAAAAGCAGGUGAUAAGGAAUUGCAAUACAAAUUUUCUCAGAUCAUAGAUUGGUGUCAGUCCUGACAACUCCAUCCUUCUCGGAAAAACAUCGCAGCUCCACCGCACCAAUUUCUCUCCGUCGCAAGCGACUCUGCCGCUCCAGUCACCCGUGCCACCCUAUUCGCCCUCUUCUCCUUGGCUGCAGGGCUCUGCCUUGCUCAGGAUCGACCAGCACGUUGCUCUACCGACUGCCCUCCAUUUGCAAUGUCCUAUCAACUCCAAUCUUCCAUUGGCAAAGUACAAGCCAACCUGAUUUGGCGUAUCACCGCAGCCUUCAAUCCGCCUCCACGCGGUCGACUCGCCUCUCAACUUUGUUCAAAACUUGCAUGGACGCUGCAAUCCACCCGCAAACACGCCAUGCUCCAACCACGUGCACCUAUAUCCCAGGCCUUAAAAAUCUUCUCAACAUGUACGUGUGCUGCAGCCAGCAAUCCAAGUCUGUAAGGCUAAUCAAUAUCAGAAUAGAAGCGCUUCGCAGUCCUGGACACCGUCGAGUUUGUCGCCCACCAAACUCAGGCAGGUAACCCCAAACAUUAACACACAUGCUUUGUUCUUGGCUCUACUAUGCCUUUUGUGUAGCAUUGAAGGUCCUUUUUCUCUUAUCAUAAACAGAGGCGAUGUAAUCUCUUUUAAUAUUCUAUCUUUUGUAAGCAUCAAGAUGCAUAUAUUCUUUAUAUUUUAAUGUCAUUCUAUUUUUCA